This 119-nucleotide ribosomal RNA is filed under the name Olea europaea subsp. europaea. Lineage: Eukaryota; Viridiplantae; Streptophyta; Magnoliopsida; Lamiales; Oleaceae. The record is from RNAcentral.
GGGUACGACCAUAUCAGCACUAACGCACCGGAUCCCGUCAGAACUCCGAAGUUAAGCGUGCUCACGCGAGAGUAGUACUAAGAUGGGUGAACCCCUGGGACGUCCUCGUGUUGCACCCC